RNAcentral lists this ribosomal RNA (564 nucleotides) under uncultured bacterium. Its description in RNAcentral is "bacterial SSU rRNA". It matches the Rfam family "Bacterial small subunit ribosomal RNA", at positions 338 to 916 of the family's 1533-position model. The record is from RNAcentral.
CCUACGGGAGGCAGCAGUGGGGAAUAUUGGACAAUGGGGGAAACCCUGAUCCAGCAAUGCCGCGUGAGUGAUGAAGGCCUUAGGGUCGUAAAGCUCUUUUACCAGGGAUGAUAAUGACAGUACCUGGAGAAUAAGCUCCGGCUAACUCCGUGCCAGCAGCCGCGGUAAUACGGAGGGAGCUAGCGUUGUUCGGAAUUACUGGGCGUAAAGCGUGCGUAGGCGGUUAUUCAAGUCAGAGGUGAAAGCCCGGGGCUCAACCCCGGAACGGCCUUUGAAACUAGAUAACUAGAAUCUUGGAGAGGUCAGUGGAAUUCCGAGUGUAGAGGUGAAAUUCGUAGAUAUUCGGAAGAACACCAGUGGCGAAGGCGACUGACUGGACAAGUAUUGACGCUGAGGUACGAAAGCGUGGGGAGCAAACAGGAUUAGAUACCCUGGUAGUCCACGCCGUAAACGAUGAUAACUAGCUGUCCGGACACUUGGUGUUUGGGUGGCGCAGCUAACGCAUUAAGUUAUCCGCCUGGGGAGUACGGUCGCAAGAUUAAAAACUCAAAAUGAAAUUGACGG